Molecule: transfer RNA, 65 nt
Filed under: Staphylinoidea sp. 8 KM-2017
Lineage: Eukaryota; Metazoa; Arthropoda; Insecta; Coleoptera
Description: tRNA-Pro
Source: RNAcentral
CAAAGGAUAGUUUAAUAAAAAUAUUAAUUUUGGAGAUUGAUGAUAAAAGUUGCUUUUUCCUUUGA